RNAcentral lists this long non-coding RNA (5236 nucleotides) under Medicago truncatula (barrel medic). RNAcentral describes it as "long non-coding RNA (MTRU_LNC008626)". Lineage: Eukaryota; Viridiplantae; Streptophyta; Magnoliopsida; Fabales; Fabaceae. The record is from RNAcentral.
UGCAUGUGCUGAAUCUUUAACUGAUUCCAAUAACUCCAAAGGAACACAAUGAUUCACUACUUGAAAGAAUCCAAGAGUUUCAGCUGCUCUAACAAUCUCAUUCACCACUUUUUCAUGUUCUUUUCCAUUGAGCUUUGAUAGGUCAAUUGGUGGCAUAUCACAUGGUUUUGUUUCUAGUUUGUUGAUUCUUUCAUUUAUGGGUUGUAUGUAUAUCUUUGGAACCUCUAAUAAACCUGAAUCUACUAAGCCUUUGAUUCCAUUGCCAUCUCUUACAAUAAAGUUGUACAAUGAAUUUGAAGUGUUGGAAAUUUGAGCCAUUAAAAAUGUGCAAUCUUUUUUUUGGGAAGAAAAAAGAAAACACUAACUUGGUAUUCUAUUUGGGUUUGUAUGAUUGAGAUGUAUAUAUUGCUUUUUAAUGUGUUUGCUUUUCCUCCUGUGACGGCUCUCUAACAAACUGGUCUCUAGACUUGAAUAUUCUUUCUGGGGUGUUUGACUGGUUAAAUGGGGUUGGCACUAAUGUGUCCAAGCAUCGUACGCAAAUUUUGUAAAAUAGAUUUGAAUCUCAUUCCAAAAAGCUAAUUGUAAGAAGACAAAUGUUUUUUUUUCUUAAGGAAAAAGAAGAAAAAUGUUAGCAAGUAUCUUCAGAUACUAUUUAAAAACCAUAAAUAAAGUGUCGGCAAACAUUUAUAUAUCCAGGGCUCAGACAAAAAAAAAACAUUUAUAUAUCCAAAGGAAAAGGAAAUAUAAAUAAUUAUAAAAAGUAUAUAUAGGAAAAGGAACUUUUAUUAAAAUUAAAGUGCUAUUAAUAAUUAUUUUAGAAAGGAAAUUUGAACUCCUCCUCUUAAGAUCAGACAAUCAAAUUUUAUCACGGAUUAUGUGCAUUCAAAACAUGGAGUUUUAAAAGUAUCACAUUUUUUCUUAGUCAACAAAUAAAAAUGUCGCAUUUUAGAUAAAGUUUCCGGAACAAAAUGUACGUCUAAAUAUUGUCUUCACACAUUCACGUCCAAAUAUUAUCUUCACACAUUCACAUCUAAAUAAUGUCUAUCACACAUUUCAAAAACAAAAUAAAAAAACUGUCUAUCAGAAGCUACAGUCGGACAAAAGAUAAGUAAUUUAUCUUCACACAAUUAUCUGGUGUGACAGAAUCAUGACACAAUUAUAAUUGUGUGAAGAAUGUCAUUUGUUUAAAAUAAAUGAAGAAUGUCAUUUGGUGAAAGAUAGAUACCAAAAAGUAGAUAGUGGGUCCCACUAUUACUAAAUUUUUACAAAUUUCACAGCGUCUUUAUCUCUUCCAAAAAAAGAAAUGGAGAUGAUAUUAAAUGGAGAUGAUCAUAGCCCGAUCAAAUGACGUUAUAAGGUUCUAUCGUAUAUAGCUCGAGAUAUUCUUUAAUAGUUUUUGUAGAUCUUCUUCGUCUUAGUGAUUUGAUUAUCCUACAUCUAAUAUACUCUUUUAACUAUAGAAUCUAAAUAUAUUAUCUCUACACGCCAAAACCAUAUAAUCCUACUUUCCACCAUAUUUUUUACAAUAAGUGCUACUCCUCCUCUCUUUUACAUUGACCGUGUAUGAGUUUAAUCUAUGGUUAAUCUUUACUUACAAGAGAAGUUGAACGUAAUCGAGUUUAACUAUAUAUUAAACAUUCCUUAAAAAAAUUCUAUAUAUUAAACAAGGAAUAAUAACUGCAUUAAUCAAUUAUUUUUUGAAGAAAAUUAUUUUGAAAUAAACGUAUCAGUAUAUCCUAUUAUAUCUUUAAUUCAGUUCUUUCUUUUUUUGUUGGUACAACAUAUAUGUUUGUAUCAUAUACUGUAGUAGUUUGUAUUCCAGCUUUUCUUUCGAAAAUUCCAGUUCAUGUUGUUAGAGUCGUUUGUCACACGGUAUUGAAUCAGUUAUCAAUGCUUCAAAGUUAAAUACUCCAUCCGUCCCUUAAUAAGUGACCUAUUUGACCAUUUCACACAGAUUAAGAAAAGUGUAAAGAUAAAAGAAAGAGAGUGAUACUUUUACUGAGUUGCCCUUGUCAUUAUUUUGAAACUUUUUCACUUUUAAGUAAUGAUUACUUUCUUUGUUCCACUACAAACUUUAACAUGGGGACCACAAAAAGUAUUUAUAAAGGGUAAAUCUGUCAAAUUUUGCUUAGAAAUCUGAGAAGGUUAAGUAUUGUGGGAUAAAUAUUUUUUACAAAUAGGUCACUUAUUCAGGGACGGAGGGAGGGAGUAAAAGUAAAAAACAAAAGGAAAAGUUACAAAAUAUGUAUUCAGAGAAACCUGACCCAUUAUAAUAAACAUACCACAUGUCUACAUUUUUGGUACAUCUCAUAUAUUUUUCUUGAAUGGAUUAUUAGGUACAUCUUAUGUAUUUUGUUCACGUGACAUUCUUUGUAAGAUUAAUUAAUCUUGGAUGCUUAUCUAUUUCAGUUAAAGCAUUGUCAAAAAAAUCUAUUUCAGUUAAAGGGACAUAAAAAUGCUGACUAGUUUACACAUACACACUCAUCAAAAUUCAAGCUAGAUUAUGAAAUAAGUAGUAGUUCAAAAUACAAGCAAACAUUACUAACCAGAUAAUACUUUCCAAAAAUUGCUAAAAGAAAAAUUACUUCCUAAAAAGCAUGACAUUGUUUGGGAUAUAGUUUUGAUAAUGAAAGUGUUCUUUUACACAUAUAACUUAUAAGUACUAAGUUGAUCUAAUUGAGUAAUUGACAAAUAAUACAUUUCUUUAUACUCCUGUGAAAUUGGUGGUGCAUUGUCGUUACUUGCACAAGUUGCAUCUGUGCAAUCUGUGGGACAUGGCUAUGAAUGCUACAUAUACUGCUAUUUGUUUUUAUCUUCUGCUUCUACUUUUUCUGUAAGUCCUAUUAUUACAACUUUUUUCUUCUACUUUUUCUGUAAGUGCUAUUAUUACAACUUUUUUCUUCUCUGCCUCAAAAGGACUUCAUGAUCUUUCUUUGUUCUACUUUGGGACCAUGUAUGUGACAUCAUCCAACUAAUACCAUAUAUGUAAUUGUUUUUUUAAAUCAAUUUAACCAAACAUAUGCAUUUUUACGAGUAAAUAGUCAAUUACCUCCCUGAAAUUGUAGGUUUUGUCAAUUACCUUCUGAAAUUAAUAAAACUUCAAUUACCCCCUAAAAUUGCAUAACGUUAAUCAAUUUACCCCAUCCGUCAAAUUUUUCUGUUAACUGUUUAUGGUUAUGAUCAAAUACCCCCCCUGAAAUUUUGCACUUAUGUGCCAAAUGCCCUCUAAACUUGAAAAUUUAUAUUAUUUUUUUUAUUCUUGACUCAAAAGAUAUUAAAGGCAAACAGAUUAACAAUUAUUGAUCAUAUAAAUCUGUAUGAAAUGUAUGUUUAUGCAGCUAUUGGUUAUAUAAAUCUUUAUGGAAGGUAUGUUACUCUCAUGUGUUUUAAAUAUAUACAUAUGUAGAAGACUUUUUUUUUACACAAGUUGGUAAUUAUGUUAGAGUAUGCAGUCAUAAAGUACAAAAGUCUUUGAUAAUUGUGUGUCCAUAAAGAAAAUUCAUAGGUUAAUAUCUGCAGAAGGAAGAAGAUACAAGGUUUGUUGAUAAAUAUAUGAAUGAAAAGGCUGCACAUGACAAAACCAUGAUUUCUUUGGCAUAUAUUCAUUCAUUUUCUUGUGAAUAGAAUUUUUAUGACAAUAGGUACAAUAUACUACUUGAAGAACUUAAUGUAUGAUUUUUGGUAAGAAAAAAAAAUCUAAAUUUGAAAGUUUAGGGGGCAUUUUGCACAUUAGUGCAAAAUUUCAGGGGGGUAUUUGAUCAUAACCGUAAACAGUUAACAGAAAAAUUUGACGGAGGGGUAAGUUGAUUAACGUUAUGCAAUUUCAGAGGGUAUUGAAGUUUUGUUAAUUUCGGAGGGGUAAUUGACGAAAUUUACAAUUUCAGGAGGGAAAUUGACUAUUUACUCGCAUUUUUACUAACAAAUUAAUCAACUAAGACAAUUUUGGCGAUUUCGGAAUGACCAGAAGUGUGACAGAAUCAUGACAUGUCAAUGCGGUUUUCACAAAAGCUAUACUUUAUAUUUGUAGCUUGUGAUAGACAUAGUUUUUUUAUUUUGUUUUUGAAAUGUGUGAUAAGACAUAUAAUUGUGUGAAUAUAAUAAAAAACUAUGUCUAUCACACUUUAUAUAUUUUAUUUUUGAAAUAUAUUAAGAUAAGUUGUGUGCAAUCAAAAUCAAAAUAAAAGUAAUUUAAAUUUGUGUUCGAAUUCAAUAUUAUACUUUGUUAUUUUAAGGUUUAGGAAUAAGUGAAAAAUAUCUAUAAAAAAUAUUUGUUUUUAAAAAUUCCUUGCACCAACGGGGUUGAGUCCAACGGAAGGAGUUAAACUCUCGCAAUCUAAUGAAUCAACGCUCAAAUAUUGCCUAGGAGAGAUACUCAUAUUUAGCGUUCGACAUGCCUCAAAUAUAGGUCUGGAUUUGGGCAUGCUGGGUAGUUUUUGCUCUCUAUAAAUAUAGUCAAUUUCGGUUUUAGUCAUGACAAAAGAAAUUACAUGUUUUGGUCAUCUAAAAAUUUUCAAUAUCUAAUUUUAAUUCCUGAUAAAUUAAAAUUUGUUUAAUUAUGCUUAAAAUUUUAAAUUUUUGAAUGAUUUGUAUAUACUUUUUUAAAAUAUUAUAAAAAGUUCCUCACAUUAGUUUUACAGAACUGUCAUUUUUUUUUUUAGAAUAAAAACGAAAUCCUCUAUAUUUAUAGGGACUAAAAUUAAUAUAACCCUAAAAAGAUUUAACUAAAGUAAUUGUUAGUUUUGUUGAGAAAGUAGAUGGACUUACUUGCACUCAUUAGGCCAAUAUUGAAGAGCAUCUUCAUCACUACUAUAUACCAUAUUGAUAUAAUCUUUCCAUUCCAAAACAUUUUCUAUCUCAGGAGCAAAAAUAGUUUGAUAUCUCAUCUUUAAACUUGUACUCACAUUUUGUCGGUAAACAACUUUUUUCUCUGGUGGCAUAUUGAAAAAUGCAUGUGCUGAAUCUUUAACUGAUUCCAAUAACUCCAAAGGAACACAAUGAUUCACUACUUGAAAGAAUCCAAGAGUUUCAGCUGCUCUAACAAUCUCAUUCACCACUUUUUCAUGUUCUUUUCCAUUGAGCUUUGAUAGGUCAAUUGGUGGCAUAUCACAUGGUUUUGUUUCUAGUUUGUUGAUUCUUUCAUUUAUGGGUUGUAUGUAUAUCUUUGGAACCUCUAAUAAACCUGAAUCUACUAAGCCUUUGAUUCCAUUGCCAUCUCUUACAAUAAAGUUGUACAAUG